This 133-nucleotide non-coding RNA is filed under the name Streptomyces albus. The record is from RNAcentral. Lineage: Bacteria; Bacillati; Actinomycetota; Actinomycetes; Kitasatosporales; Streptomycetaceae.
GUAAAGUGACCGCGUCGUUCUCAUGCCCGCCUCGGGGGAAGCCGGUGGAAACCCGGCGCUGACCCGCAACCGUGAGCCGCCCGUCCCCGAAACGGCGGCGAGCCGGAAUGCCCGGGGCGGAUAUGACCGGCUC